AACUGAUACUACCUGCGGGAACCUGCGGAAGGAUCAUUACCGAGUUUACAACUCCCAAACCCCCUGUGAACUUAUACCAUUACUGUUGCUUCGGCGGGUUAUUGCCCCGGGGAAAGGACCAGGUGCCGUCAAGGUUCCCUGCCCGCCCCCGGAAACAGGCGCCUGCCGGGGGACUCAAACUCUUCUGUAUUUUUUAUUUUGCUGUUAUACUGUCUGAGUAAAAAACUAUAAAUGAAUCAA
Molecule: unclassified non-coding RNA, 240 nt
Filed under: soil metagenome
Description: partial contains 5.8S ribosomal RNA, internal transcribed spacer 2, and large subunit ribosomal RNA
Source: RNAcentral